This is a non-coding RNA of Equus caballus (horse), 3319 nucleotides long. The record is from RefSeq and is a predicted model, not a curated record. NCBI's taxonomy places the organism in Eukaryota, Metazoa, Chordata, Mammalia, Perissodactyla, Equidae.
GCUGCGGGCCGCGCGCACAGCUAACCGGCUGCCCUGCCGAGUCCCCGGCGCUGCGCGGCCGCCGCGGGCUCCUCAGCGAGAAGCGGCCUGCGGGCGGCGGAGGGCGGAGGAGUGAGCGCGGGGCGGAGCCCUUCGCCCACAGGUUUCCUCAGGCCUCGGGCGCCGGGCCGCCCCGGGACGCUGAGCGGGCCCUCGGGGGAUGCUCGGCGGCGAACGGCCCCGACGACGCCGAGGGCGCAGGUGGGGCCGCCGCCCGGCGAGAGGCCGGGGCCUCUGUCUGGAAGCGGGAACCCAGCUCGAGUGGCGACCGUGGGCCCGUCCCCCCCGUCCGCCGGCGCCUCCUGUGAAGGGAGGCCGAGGACAGAGGCGAGACGGAGUUCCUGCUGCCCUGGGCUCAGUAACUCGCUGCAGGCCUGGGGUGUCGUCGCCCUCGCCGCACACCGAGCAGCCGCGUGUUUCCUCCUCGAGCGAAGCACCGCAGCCUGAGGAGUUGAGGAUUUUGAGCAGUAGAGGGCAAGACGGGGAGCGCUCGAUGUAAAACCGACCUUACUUUCAUCGACAUAACUCGGCAGAGCUGCCAGACGUACAGAAUGGCCUUGGGGAAGCGAGAGGGGCCCACCCUAGGGACAGGAAGAUCCUAAUGAGCUAGAGGACACUGGGAUUCAGAGUAUUGCCAAGUAGAAAACAUAGGACGCUAUUCUAGAAUGCUGAUUUGUGCUUCUAUCAAAAAGAGUUGAGGAGAAGUGUAGCAAGAAUUGGUAACCAGAAGUGUCAUCUUUCCAGCAGUUUUUCACUGUAGCUCAGAACACGAGACAUUUUUUGCUGGAAGUCGGAGAGAUGGGGACAUCUGUGCAGCUCUAAGAGAGAAAGGAGCCCUCCCAUCACAUCUCGUGGCUGUAUCUAUAAAGAGUGCGACAGAUAAUACCAGUGACAGUGCUUUGUGCAUGAGACAUGAUGUCACACAGAGCAGCACAGGCUUUCUGGGUCCAAGCCACAUGGCAGCAACGGUGGGCCGACACCAUCCUACUCUUGUGACCCAAGAGUCCAGGCGCCAUGAAACAACUUCCUCCCAAAGGCAGACAGGGCUCACUGUUUUCCAUCUCACUAUUUAUAUCAAUACCGCUGUAAAAAAUAUGCAAUAAGAAUGUGCCAAAUGACAUCCUCAUCAUGCCAUUUUAGUCCCAGCCCUGCUCCUUGUCUUCUGGUCUCCAGCUUAGCAAAGUCACAAACAUUUCCUGUGCUCUGGACUUGGAACCUGUCAUUAUCAUCUUAAAGGCUGAACAACAGACAGACCUUCCAAAGGUAAAGGAGAAAAGAAGGCCCAAGGAACUGAGGAUGAACUUGGUAAUAACAGCUUUGCAAUACUUAUACACCACAGAAGGGCCCUGGGAGUUUUAACUUCGGGAUUGUUUACAUGGACAGACAGCUUCUGUUAUGGCAGAACAGACAUCCUUUGCACAGCAGCAUCUGACUUGAAAAUGUUCUUAGAGAGCGCUUAUUAGGUACCAGUUCCGUAUUGGGCAUUAUGAGACAGCAGUUCCCUGAGAGUCUUACCAGCCUAUUAGGAAAUCAGGACUCAGAGCAGACAGUCAGAGACCAACACAGCACAACACUCAGUGACCCAGACCAAUAUCUCAGCACUCAGAGAAGUGCACCUUUAUGCUCAGAGGCUGAACAGAGACAGAGAAUCUUAUAACCUAAUAAUGUCAUAAUAUUAAAGCAAUCGUCUGGUGAAGCAAAUAAAUAAAACAUAACAACUAAAUUCUCCUAUUAUAAAUCAGGAUUGCUCAAACUGAAAGUUUCCUCUACUCUUUGAAAAAUUCAGAAUAAAGAAGAAUAUAGGACGACAUUCAGGAUAUAACUUUAAGGCUUCUUCAAGCUGAAUUCCUAAGUGAGACUGCAGCCCUGAUAAUGCUCUACAAUUUACUCCAGUGUCUUAGAUGCCUCAUACUCGCUAUAAGAAGGGCUGCAGAGCACUACUCCAUGGUGUGGCUGUACCCACCACAUUCAUGCAACCGCUCUCCUACGUAUGAGCAUCCAGGCUGUUCCCAAUAUUUUACAAUUACAAACAAUGCUGCAAGGAAUAACUCUGUGCCUAUGAAUGUUCAUAUUUUUGGAGGUGCAUCUCUAAGAAUAUCAGCCUGUGCUACGUGAUACAAGCGAAACACGGUCAGCCACAAGACACAUCAUUUUCCUAUAUUAGUACAGGAAGGGAGUUCUGAUCUACCAGGCGACCUUGGUUUCAUCCAGCUGCUUCUCAUAAUGGCGCACCUAAGGUCAGGAAGCAAAACCGCCACCAUGUUAUUCAACUCAAGGCCAUGGAAAGGUGAUGGGGGUGCUGCCGCACCUUCAGGAUCUCCUGGCUGUUCUCAAUGCCCUCUUCCUGCCAGGUGUCGAGAAUUUUCUCCACUGAGGCAUAGCCCAUCCCAUCAUCCAGGCAGGAGAAGACCCGAAAGCCAAUGGUACUCAUCAUCGCUGAUGGGGUUGUGGUACGUCGUCCACUCUCAUCGAAGGACUGGAAGAAGAGAGAGACUUGAGCAAGCUCAGGAAUUUCAACAAGACCUUGGUGAGGACUGAAACUGGUCCGUCCUGACCACGAUGAGCAGAAAGCAUGUUUCCAUAAUUGACACUGCUGCAAAAAAGUCACGCAGCCCCUUUGAUCUCCUUUUCCAAGUGAGGCAAGAAUGCAAAGCUUAUCAAAAACAAUUGAUCUGGCAGAGAGUUCCUUGACAUAGACGAGAUGUGUCUCUACUUAACACCAGGUUUCGUCUGACCCACAGCUGACAUUAAGGGGCAUAAUUAGUGGUCUUCCCACUCUGUAAUUUAUGGUCAUUUCUCAAACCCAACUUUUCCUUCCCAAUAGUUUAGUCUUUCUUUCCGACUCUCCUUUUGCUUCUCUCUUUCUCAUCAGCAUUUUUCUUCAGACAGCAGAUUAAUUCAUUAGAAAUUACUGAAAUGGGUUUUAACUUCUACUCACAAAGAAACCAUUUCUUACCUGCAUGGAGAGGUGCCUUUUCAACUGUCGAUAUGGAGUAGACGCUGACGGUGGAAGGGAUUUUCCAUUUUUGAACAAGCCGUAGAAAAAGUCUUCCACGCUCAUUGUACCAUCAGGAUCAAGAUUAUGGAAGACUUCCUCGAGCAUCUAGAAAACGAACAAGGUGAGCUCCUCAAAGACAGACCCUUCAUGACUACUUCCUAGGGAAAAAAAAGGAUGGAGUCUCUGGAACAAGCUGCAGGAAGCCCUAGUAUGGCUGUUCCUAGCCUGUGGCCAGUGCAGCUUUCAUCAUGAUUAUUAUUCUUGAAUAAAAAUUUGAUGCAA